UGUAGACAUAGAGGAUCUCUUUGCAGUGCUUUCUUUGAUGAAGUGGUUGUGAACUGCCAUCCUGACCUGGUGGAUGAUGGGUUUGGCGAGAAAUCUGUACUAGGGCAUGAGAAUCUUCAAGAGGCUUUCCUUUGAGUCCUCCGUCACAGCUCCACCAUUGCUUACCGGAGAGCUGAAAGAUGGAAAGGACCAGACUGGGUUUAAGAUUUCAUCACUCGGGAUCAACACAAUCAGAGGAAUCAGCUCUAGAUUUGGAAAGGAACUACUGCAGUCAUCCUAAUUUACCUUUAUCAUGUCCAUCGCUGCCUUCAACACUCUGUGUCAGGUGCUCAGCAUUUCAAGAGCGGUGCUGCCCACUUCUCAUGGCCUACUUCAAGUCGAUUAAAUGAAGCGGCAGAAGAUAGGGCAAACUUCUUUGGAAACCUUCAAAAGGGGGUGCUGCCUGAAACUCUGGGGCGGUUGCCAACAGGGCAAGCAAUCUACCACCUUGCUUGAGCUGUUGACUAUUAGGGCAUUUCACAGCAAGAUCUUGUGCCGAGUUAGUCUUGGCACUGCAACUGGGUUUCGAAUUCGAAAGGGUGUGCUGACAGAUAUUCCUGCUUUUCUUGUCAUUGUUGCCCGUAAAGUUCACAGGCAAUGGCCCAACCACGUCCAGUAUCUACCUGCUGCCCUUGAGGGGCCAGGAGGUGUACGGUGUGCCAUACCAAUCCCCAUUUCUCUCUUCUACACACCUUUCAGGGCACUAUGUUCCUACCACCAUGAUCAUGACCCUGGCACCACUCCAGCACUCCCCACUUCUUCAUCACCAUCAUUAUCAGCACAAUCCAAUUCUCUUGUCAGAGUAGUCUGUUCAUUGGUCUGUGACUCUUUCUACCAACAACCCCAUGUGAAAACAUCGCCUCCCAAGCUCAAUCUUCAGCAGGAGGCUGAUUUGUUGACCCAAGAACAGGCCAUUACAGUCGUUGCUUCACUCGCUGCUGAGGCGGGGUCGAUGGUGGCGUUGAGUUUCUUUUACUGGGCAAUUGGGUUUGCCAAGUUUCGCCAUUUUAUGCGGCUUUAUAUAGUAUGCGCCACAUCAUUGAUUGGUAAUGGGAAUAUGGAGAGGGCUCAUGAAGUGAUGCAGUGUAUGGUAAGGAGUUUUGCUGAGAUUGGGAGGUUAAGGGAGGCUGUUGAUAUGGUUAUUGAGAUGCGAAACCAAGGUUUGGCACCAAGUACUUGCACGUUAAAUUGUGUGAUUGGCAUUGGGUGUGAAAUGGGUUUGGUUGAAUAUGUCGAGAACUUGUUCGAGGAAAUGUGUGUGAGAGGAGUGUCUCCUGAUCAUUGCAGUUAUAAGUUGAUGGUUAUUGGUUAUUGUAGGAUGGGUAUAAUUUUGGAGGCAGAUAGGUGGUUGAGUGAAAUGCUUAAGAGAGGCUUUGUUCUAGAUAAUGCAACUUUUACUUUAGUUAUCAGUGCAUUUUCUGAGAAGGGUUUUGUGAAUAGAGCUUGUUGGUAUUUUGAUAAGAUGAUUGAGAUGGGUUUGGCACCAAAUGUGAUUAAUUUCACGUCUUUGAUUCAUGGGUUGUGCAAGAGGGGCAGCAUUAAGCAAGCAUUUGAAAUGUUGGAGGAAAUGGUUAGGAAAGGUUGGAAACCUAAUGUGUAUACUCAUACAGCAUUGAUUGAUGGGCUCUGCAAGAAGGGAUGGACUGAGAAGGCUUUUAGACUGUUUCUGAAACUUGUCCGGAGUGACAAUCACAAGCCAAAUGUUCAUACAUAUACAGCCAUGAUUAGCGGGUAUUGCAAAGAGGGCAAGUUGAACCGUGCUGAGAUGUUGUUAACCAGAAUGAAAGAACAGGGAUUGGUCCCCAACACCAACACAUAUACUACUCUCAUUGAUGGGCACUGUAAAGUAGGGAAUUUCGGAAGAGCAUAUGAGUUGAUGAAAGUAAUGAAUGAUGAAGGUUUCACACCUAACAUCUGUACAUAUAAUGCAAUUUGUGAUGGCCUUUGCAAAAGGGGAAGGGUUCAUGAGGCUUAUAAAUUGCUUAAGAAGGGUUUUCGUUGUGGAUUGCAAGCAGAUAGGGUCACGUAUACUAUCCUCAUAUCUGAGCACUGUAAACGGGCAGAUACUAUGCAUGCCUUGGUGUUUUUCAAUAAGAUGAUCAAAGGUGGCAUUCAACCUGAUAUUCAUACAUAUACCACACUGAUUGCUGCCUUCUGUAGGCAAAAGAGAUUGAAAGAGAGUGAGAAGCUUUUUGAAGACGUUGUAAUGCUAGGCCUGGUUCCAACUAAGCGGACGUAUACAUCCAUGAUAUGUGGGUACUGUAGGGUUGAAAAUGUUAACUUGGCUGUAAAGUAUUUUCAUAGGAUGAAUGAUCAUGGCUGUACGCCGGACAGUAUUACAUAUGGUGCUCUUAUAAGUGGGCUUUGCAAAGGGUUUAAGUUGGAUGAGGCCCGCCGGUUAUAUGACACCAUGAUAGACAAGGGGCUAUCCCCAUGUGAAGUUACUCGGCUGACCUUGGCUUACGAGUAUUGCAAAAUAGAUGAUUCUGCUACUGCCAUGAUCAUAUUGGAAAGGCUAGACAAAAGGCUCUGGAUCCAGACAGUUAAGACCUUGGUCAGGAAGCUUUGUUGUGAGGGAAAAGUGGGCAUAGCAGCAUUGUUCUUUUAUAGAUUAUUAGAUAAGGACCGUAAUGUGGAUCGUGUGACUUUGGUAGCAUUCACGACUGCAUGCUACAAGACCAACAACUAUGCUCUUGUUUCUAACUUGUCCGAGAGGAUCUCUAAAGGAAUUUCUUAGCAGCUGUUGCUUAACCAUGAUGGGUGAAUUCAUUUGUGUUGAAAAGUUGAGCUGCUAAAACAAGUUUUGUAGUUUGAUUCCUCUUCCUACUGUUGAUAACUUGAAGGCUCAGGUGCCUAGCAGCAUGAUAAGCCAGUGAAUGUCAUUAUGUAUUUUGUAGAGUUCCAUUCCAUAUAACGCCUUCAGUCAUUUCUGAAUAACAACCAAAACGUGUCGUGACUGCAUUGAAUAAUUGAAGGGAUUGGCCACAGGUGUUUUCUUCUUUAGUAUACCCCUUGAUGAGUUCACGUUUGAACUCCAACUUUUCUCUGCAAAUGACUGGGAGAUCUUCAUUAAGGCAUUUGAUGCGUAUAUGGUUGGCCCAAAAGAAGAAUUUCCAUUGCCUAUCACAAAGAAUUCUAUAUGAGACUUUCGGCUACGAGCGCAUGUCUUUCAUGGAUGGUGACGGAACGGAAUAAAAUCUAAAGGUAAUUCUGCUGUUUUUCUUGAUGGAGACAAAGCUGCACCAGAUAAUACUGAACUGAAGAAAUGGAAUCAUUCCUGGCUGUGGGUUGUUUGAGGGAGUAGAUUGUAGAAACAUGGUCAGUUCAGUCCACUGAACUUCAUUAGUCCACUGAACUUGCAGCUAACUGUAUAUUGAUAGCAACAUGGAAGAAUGCCCACUGCUGAAUAACUUCACUGGCCAUACUUUUUGGUGAUUCUGAGAAGCUGCCCUGUUGCCUCUUCUCUUUGGACUACGUGGGAGAAAGGAUAUAUUUGUCAUUUCCUUCAGAACUUGUUUCGGAUUGUGUUCAGAAAUAUAGCUAGUCUAUAGAAAAAGCCUGAAAGAACUUUUUUAAAGAAGCCCCAUUUACAAGUUUCCCCCUAAACGCAUUUUUCAACCUUUUUAGAGCUAAAAAGAAGUGUUUUUUUUUUUCCUAGUGUUUUACCGAAUGAACCUAUUUUUAUCUGGCACAGCUUUUUAACUACUAAAAGUACAUUUUAAAUUUCUUUAACUCAAUCCCAAACACGAACUAAGCCAACUGUUGGCAUCGUUAUGACUGUUGCUGCAGCCAAUGGUUUUGAAGUAGAUCGCUUAAGCCAUUUGUGCUUCAUCCUCCUGCUGGUUGGCCACCUCUAUUGUGGUAGGCAGCCCUCUACUCAGAAUCUGUGUGGUUUGUUGAUAGAUUUUGCUGGGUAGGUGAAAUCAUUCAGGGCUGGCUUUUCUUGAAGUUAUUGGGAUUUAGCUAGCAAAGGAACAUCUUUUUAGCUGAAUCACUGAAGCAAGCAAUUGUUUGGCUUCCAUCUUUUUGUAAGACAAUUGUCAAAUGAAAUUCAAUAUCAUGCCUGAUUAUUGGCGUUGAACAA
Alnus glutinosa is the source of this 4123-nucleotide RNA transcript. It is a transcript of the gene named pentatricopeptide repeat-containing protein At4g19890, with no coding region annotated. The transcript is spliced from 5 exons. Lineage: Eukaryota; Viridiplantae; Streptophyta; Magnoliopsida; Fagales; Betulaceae. The record is from RefSeq and is a predicted model, not a curated record.